UACGGGGGGUGCGAGCGUUGUCCGGAAUCACUGGGCGUAAAGGGCGCGUAGGUGGCCUGAUAAGGGUGUGGUGAAAGUCCGGGGCUCAACCCCGGAUCUGCCGUGCCGACUGUUGGGCUGGAGUACUGUAGGGGCAGGCGGAAUUCCGGGUGUAGCGGUGGAAUGCGUAGAGAUCCGGAGGAAGACCGGUGGCGAAGGCGGCCUGCUGGGCAGUUACUGACACUGAGGCGCGAAAGCGUGGGGAGCAAACGGG
Molecule: ribosomal RNA, 253 nt
Filed under: uncultured bacterium
Lineage: Bacteria
Description: partial 16S ribosomal RNA
Rfam family: Bacterial small subunit ribosomal RNA
Source: RNAcentral